This 704-nucleotide ribosomal RNA is filed under the name uncultured bacterium. Its description in RNAcentral is "bacterial SSU rRNA". It matches the Rfam family "Bacterial small subunit ribosomal RNA", at positions 8 to 734 of the family's 1533-position model. The record is from RNAcentral.
AGAGUUUGAUCAUGGCUCAGAUUGAACGCUGGCGGCGUGGCUAAAACAUGCAAGUCGAACGCGAAAGGGAGCAAUUCCAAGUAGAGUGGCGAAAGGGCGAGUAAUACAUUCCUACGUGCCUUGAGGUCGGGGAUAGCUCGGGGAAACCCGGAUUAAUACCCGAUGUGGUGCUUCAUGUAAAAGUGGAACAUCAAAGGCUUGCCGCCUUGAGAGCGGGGAAUGUCCUAUCAGCUAGUUGGUGAGGUAACGGCUCACCAAGGCGAAGACGGGUAGCGGGUGUGAGAGCAUGACCCGCCGCAUCGGGACUGAGACACUGCCCGGACUCCUACGGGAGGCUGCAGUAACGAAUCUUCCGCAAUGCGCGAAAGCGUGACGGAGCGACGCCGCGUGCAGGAUGAAGCCCUUCGGGGUGUAAACUGCUGUCAGGGUUUCGAAACACAAUGAUCAAACCCAAAGGAAGAGGCGACUAACUCUGUGCCAGCAGUCGCGGUAAUACAGAGGCCUCGAGCGUUAAUCGGAAUCACUGGGCUUAAAGCGUACGUAGGCGGACGCGCAGGCAUCGUGUGAAAUCCCUCGGCUCAACCGGGGAACUGCACGGUGAACCGCGUGUCUUGAGGCAAGUAGAGGCGGUCGGAACGCUAGGUGGAGCGGUGAAAUGCGUAGAUAUCUAGCGGAACGCCGAAGGUGAAAACAGGCCGCUGGGC